UACGUAGGUGGCAAGCGUUGUCCGGAAUUAUUGGGCGUAAAGCGCGCGCAGGUGGUUCCUUAAGUCUGAUGUGAAAGCCCACGGCUCAACCGUGGAGGGUCAUUGGAAACUGGGGAACUUGAGUGCAGAAGAGGAAAGUGGAAUUCCAAGUGUAGCGGUGAAAUGCGUAGAGAUUUGGAGGAACACCAGUGGCGAAGGCGACUUUCUGGACCGUACCUGACACUGAGGCGCGAAAGCUAGGGGAGCAAACAGG
RNAcentral lists this ribosomal RNA (253 nucleotides) under uncultured bacterium. Its description in RNAcentral is "partial 16S ribosomal RNA". It matches the Rfam family "Bacterial small subunit ribosomal RNA", at positions 524 to 776 of the family's 1533-position model. The record is from RNAcentral.